This is a long non-coding RNA of Homo sapiens (human), 387 nucleotides long. RefSeq annotates it as UAP1 divergent transcript. The transcript is spliced from 3 exons. Lineage: Eukaryota; Metazoa; Chordata; Mammalia; Primates; Hominidae. The record is from RefSeq and is a predicted model, not a curated record.
GCACUAACUGAGGGUGAAGGAUGUCGGUUGGGUCUGCUAGGAGGGGCCAGGAGCCGGCCGGCAGAGAGCGGCUCGUGGGUCCCAGGACCCCUGACGUCCCUAGGUUGUACUGGGAGCUUUUGCAAGAAGUGGAAUAUGUUGAAAUACGAAAAUACCUAGAUUUAACAUACCACCUAUCAUAAAGAGAUUCAGGCGCCUUUCUUCUACUUUCUUGGGUGCAAAGGCCUUUUCAUUCCCUUUACCAAUUGCAUAAUCACCCACUGCCUCAAGUAACAACAGAAAAACUUAAACUUGGUAAUAUCUUAGGCACAGCAAAAACUUCCUCAACAUUUUUUGCUCCAGACCUCAUAUCUCCCCUUGGCCUGUGUUACUGAAUAUUAGUGGAAG